This 317-nucleotide ribosomal RNA is filed under the name uncultured bacterium. Its description in RNAcentral is "bacterial SSU rRNA". It matches the Rfam family "Bacterial small subunit ribosomal RNA", at positions 28 to 334 of the family's 1533-position model. The record is from RNAcentral.
GAUGAACGCUAGCUACAGGCUUAACGCAUGCAAGUCGAGGGGAAACGAUAGAGAAAGCUUGCUUUUUCUAGGCGUCGACCGGCGCACGGGUGAGUAACGCGUAUCCAACCUGCCCACCACUUGGGGAUAACCUUGCGAAAGUAAGACUAAUACCCAAUGACGUCUCUAGAAGACAUCUGAAAGGGAUUAAAGGUUUAUCGGUGAUGGAUGGGAAUGCGUCUGAUUAGCUUGUUGGCGGGGUAACGGCCCACCAAGGCUACGAUCAGUAGGGGUUCCGAGAGGAAGGUCCCUCACAUUGGAACUGAGACACGGUCCAA